RNAcentral lists this ribosomal RNA (253 nucleotides) under uncultured bacterium. RNAcentral describes it as "partial 16S ribosomal RNA". It matches the Rfam family "Bacterial small subunit ribosomal RNA", at positions 524 to 776 of the family's 1533-position model. The record is from RNAcentral.
UACGUAGGGUGCAAGCGUUAAUCGGAAUUACUGGGCGUAAAGCGUGCGCAGGCGGCUUUGCAAGACAGAUGUGAAAUCCCCGGGCUUAACCUGGGAACUGCAUUUGUGACUGCAAAGCUAGAGUACGGCAGAGGGGGAUGGAAUUCCGCGUGUAGCAGUGAAAUGCGUAGAUAUGCGGAGGAACACCGAUGGCGAAGGCAAUCCCCUGGGCCUGUACUGACGCUCAUGCACGAAAGCGUGGGGAGCAAACAGG